CGGGGUCAUUCUGGGCCUUCCUUUUUUGACAUCGUCUUUGUGUUCUUUUGUUCUUUGGCUUGGAUUUCUGGUUGUGAUGCCUAUGUGGUGCGCUUGCUGCUGGGUGUCUUCGUGUAUGACAGGGAUUUCGUGUGCACCAUUCUUUUCCAUGUCUUUUCGCUUGUCCUUCUCGUUUCUCGGCGCGUUGAGGAUGGUUGGGUUUCGCUUGAAUGCUGGUUUCUUCCGUGUGGCCUUCAUUGUCCCCUCUAUUGCGGUGUUGUUCUUUGGGGCAUGGGGAGUGGCUGUGUGUUGACGCUCAGGGUGGUCAUCGUUCGUCGGUGGUGGGGUUGCGGUCGGAUUCGGUGUUACUGCUUUUUCGACCUGCUCAUGGAUUGCUGUGAUGGGUGUCUUGGAGUGUCCGUGGCGGUGGCCGGUGUCAUAUAUGUGAUGGAUCUCCUCACUUGGGUCUUGUGGUUCCGUGCAGUAUGUUGGCGCUCUUUGGAAGAGUGACCUGAGGGCGGUUCUUUUGUGCGAUGGUGGG
RNAcentral lists this long non-coding RNA (520 nucleotides) under Androctonus crassicauda. Lineage: Eukaryota; Metazoa; Arthropoda; Arachnida; Scorpiones; Buthidae. The record is from RNAcentral.